RNAcentral lists this ribosomal RNA (492 nucleotides) under uncultured bacterium. RNAcentral's name for it is "partial 16S ribosomal RNA". It matches the Rfam family "Bacterial small subunit ribosomal RNA", at positions 29 to 507 of the family's 1533-position model. The record is from RNAcentral.
AGUGAACGCUGGCGGUAGGCCUAACACAUGCAAGUCGAACGGCAGCACAGUAAGAGCUUGCCUUUACGGGUGGCGAGUGGCGGACGGGUGACGAAUACAUCGUAAUCUUCUUUUUCGUGGGGGAUUACGUAGGGCAAGCUACGAUAAUACAGCAUAUGACCCACGGCUGAACGCAGGGGAUAUUCGGACCUUUUGUGUUUGUACUAGCCGAUUUCGGACUAGUUGGUUGGGGGGGUAUAGGCCCACCAAGGCGACGAUGCGUAGCCGGUCUGAGAGGAUGGUCGGCGACACUGGAAGUGGGACACGGUCCAGACUCCUACGGGAGGCAGCAGUAGGGAAUGCUAGACAAUGGGCGGAAGCCUGACCGAGCCGGGCCGCGUGGGUGAAAAAGGCCUUCGGAUCGUAAAACCCUGUUAUUAGGGAAGAAAAGCUGUGGAUUUAAACACGGCUGUUUUGACGGUACCUAAUAAGAAAGCACCGGCUAACUACGUG